RNAcentral lists this non-coding RNA (24 nucleotides) under Arabidopsis thaliana (thale cress). The record is from RNAcentral. Lineage: Eukaryota; Viridiplantae; Streptophyta; Magnoliopsida; Brassicales; Brassicaceae.
GAACUUGGUGCAGGGCGUUUUACA